Molecule: ribosomal RNA, 460 nt
Filed under: uncultured bacterium
Lineage: Bacteria
Description: partial 16S ribosomal RNA
Rfam family: Bacterial small subunit ribosomal RNA
Source: RNAcentral
CCUACGGGUGGCUGCAGUGAGGAAUAUUGGUCAAUGGACGAGAGUCUGAACCAGCCAAGUAGCGUGAAGGAUGACUGCCCUAUGGGUUGUAAACUUCUUUUAUAUGGGACUAAAAUGUUCCACGUGUGGGAUUUUGUAUGUCCCAUAUUAAUAAGGAUCGGCUAACUCCGUGCCAGCAGCCGCGGUAAUACGGAGGAUCCGAGCGUUAUCCUGAUUUAUUUUGUUUAAAGGGAGCGUAGGUGGAUUGUUAAGUCAGUUGUGAAAGUUUGCGGCGCAACCGUAAAAUUGCAGUUGAAACUGGCAGUCUUGAGUACAGUAGAGGUGGGCGGAAUUCGUGGUGUAGCGGUGAAAUGCUUAGAUAUCACGAAGAACUCCGAUUGCGAAGGCAGUUCACUGGACUGCAACUGACACUGAGGCUCGAAAGUGUGGGUAUCAAACAGGAUUAGAUACCCCUGUAGUC